UCUACGGGAGGCAGCAGUGAGGACUAUUGGUCAAUGGGCGCGAGCCUGAACCAGCCAAGUAGCGUGAAGGAUGACUGCCCUACGGGUUGUAAACUUUUUUUAUAAAGGAAUAAAGUGAGGCACGUGUGCCUUUUUGUAUGUACUUUAUGAUUAAGGAUAGGCGAAAUCCGUGCCAGCAGCCGCGGUAAUACGGAGGAUGCGAGCGUUAUCCGGAUUUAUUGGGUUUAACGGGAGCGUAGAUGGGUUGUUAAGUCAGUUGUGAAAGUUUGCGGCUCAACCGUAAAAUUGCAAUUGAUACUGGCAGGCUUGAGUACAGUUGAGGUAGGCGGAAUUCGUGGUGUAGCGGUGAAAUGCUUAGAUAUCACGAAGAACUCCGAUUGCGAAGGCAGCUUACUAAACUGCCACUGACAUUGAUGCUCGAAAGUGUGGGUAUCAAACAGGAUUAGAUACCCUAGUAGUC
Molecule: ribosomal RNA, 460 nt
Filed under: uncultured bacterium
Lineage: Bacteria
Description: partial 16S ribosomal RNA
Rfam family: Bacterial small subunit ribosomal RNA
Source: RNAcentral